CUCUUUUUGAUUUGAUUUGAUUCUCUGCUUGGUCGCUGUUGGUGUAUAGAAGAGCUACUGAUUUGUGUACAUUAAUCUCAUAUCUAGAAACACUGCUAAAUUAUUUUAUCAGUUCUAGGAGCUUUCUGGAGGAGUCCUUAGGGUUUUGAAGGUAAACAAUCAUUUCAUCAGCAAACAGUGGAAAAUGAGCUUAUAUAUGAAGAAGUCAGCGAGUGGACAAAGCCAGGCGCAAUGGAUAGCAAAGAUGUGGAAGUCUCCUCGAUUCAAGUUACAAGAAAACCGCAGCAUGGAGUCUGCUCUCAGCUGUUGGGGAAUUACCGAUGCCUUUGACUAAGUCAAGACUGACUUUUCCAGAAUAUCACCCAAGAGAUAGAGCCGUCCCUGUCCAAGUUUGUGCGCUAGCCCUUCAUGGAGGUCAGAGAGGAAGAAACAAAGGCAGCUGUGGCCUCGGCGGUCACAGUGUCAGAACGCACAAGCCCCAUAAAGAGGUUUCACGCAGGCCACCCAUCCCUUUUCAUUCUCCAGCAGAACAGGACAGAGAGCGUUCUGUUCUGCGGAAGGUCUUCCACUCUACAAGGCAAUCCCUCCAGCUGCUUUGCUGUAUUGUGCUGUCUCCUGUCACACUAUGAAUGCAGUGACCUCAGCCAGCAACAGGGAGAACCCCCCUGCCUCCCGAACAAAGGACCUCACGUGAAAUCCUGAGCUCAGAGCUUACAGAUAUGUGUGCGCUUUCACUUUACAUCGGCCGUGACUUCCAAACAACUUCAGGAAACUUUAGGAUCUCUGAGGUAUACUGGAGAUGACAGCAGCGUAGAAUGUUCAUUUGGAUUUAGAACAGAAAUGCUUAUUUUAUAUUUGGCUGCUCCCAAACUGUCCCCAGACUUCCUCUCCAGUGGUUACCCUCCACUGCCCUGGAUGUCCCACGUUUACACUCCACACUCACACCUCCACCUUAACAAAGUCCUCCACUGGGUCAAACCAUACAUCGCUUCGUCUCUGUAGUGAUGACUUCCUGUCCUCUGCUCUGUGGAUAAAGACCCCAGAUAAAGAUGCCUGUGUUGCUCAACUCUUGUAAAUACUCUUGAGACAUUUUGAAAGCAGAAGGAAAGGAGACAGACGGGGAAAAUAAAAGGGAUGGUCUGCUUGUGCGGAAACGUUUUGAGAAUGCCCUUCCCUAAGAGAGAACAGUAAAAGUGAGCAAUACUUCCUGAGCUGUGGGUUCAUAUGGCUGGACUGUGCUGUUUCUCACGGGAGAAGUUCUCGUCUCCCCUGCGUGUACAUCCCUGUUUGCCAGCCUGGCCUUCGGUGUGGUGAUAUCAUGGUGCACUCCCAGGAGGGAAGUGCUUGGUCAAGACUUCUGCUUGGGUUCGACUAUCAGUUCUGGUUUCCUUUAAGGCACAGGAUCUUCCCUUUAAGGCACAAACACCCCCUUGACACAAAGUAAGGGACAAGGGAACUUUAAACCAUUUGGAAACCCAAGCACAAUAGGCUGUAGGUUGUAAAAAGAAAUUACAAAGGUAAUUUUAUCCAGAAGAGGGAGCAGUUUAACUUCUGCAGGAUUAUCAAGUUGGCUUCGGUGACAAAAACGAGCAUCGCGUUUCCAUGGAGGGCUUCCCGUCUGUGUAUGAGAAAG
RNAcentral lists this long non-coding RNA (1633 nucleotides) under Homo sapiens (human). RNAcentral's name for it is "HSALNT0331762". The record is from RNAcentral. Lineage: Eukaryota; Metazoa; Chordata; Mammalia; Primates; Hominidae.